AGAAUUCGCCCUCGCGGAUCCGCGGCCGCUUGCAGAGUUGAUCCUGGCUCAGGAUGAACGCUGGCGGCAUGCUAUGCACUAUGCUAAGUCGAACGGACACCUUCGGGUGUCAGUGGCGAACGGGUGAGUAACGUGUAGGAAUCUACCCCUGUGGAGGGGGAUAACAGCUGGAAACGGCUGCUAAUACCCCAUACAGGCGCAAGCUGUAAAGGAGUAAUCCGUCCAGGGAUGAGCCUGCGUCGGAUUAGCUAGUUGGUGGUGUAAUGGCCUACCAAGGCGACGAUCCGUAGCGGGUCUGAGAGGAUGGCCCGCCACACUGGGACUGAGACACGUCCCAGACUCCUACGGGAGGCAGCAGUGGGGGAAUUUUCCGUAAUGGGACGAAAGCUCUACGGAGCAAUGCCGCGUGAGGGAAGAAGGCCUUCGGGUCGUAAACCUCUUUUCUUGGGUACGAAGUUCUGACGGUACCCCAGGAAUAAGUCUCGUCUAACUCUUU
RNAcentral lists this ribosomal RNA (496 nucleotides) under uncultured bacterium. RNAcentral describes it as "bacterial SSU rRNA". It matches the Rfam family "Bacterial small subunit ribosomal RNA", at positions 1 to 506 of the family's 1533-position model. The record is from RNAcentral.